GGGCCCGCACAAGCAGUGGAGUAUGUGGUUUAAUUCGAAGCAACGCGAAGAACCUUACCAGGUCUUGACAUCGAGUGACGAACUAAGAGAUUAGUUUUUCCUUCGGGACACGAAGACAGGUGGUGCAUGGUUGUCGUCAGCUCGUGUCGUGAGAUGUUGGGUUAAGUCCCGCAACGAGCGCAACCCUUACCUUUAGUUGCUACGCAAGAGCACUCUAAAGGGACUGCCGUUGACAAAACGGAGGAAGGUGGGGAUGACGUCAAAUCAUCAUGCCCCUUAUGACCUGGGCUACACACGUACUACAAUGGCAAUUAACAAAGAGCAGCAAAGCGGUGACGCAGAGCGAAUCUCCAAAAAUUGUCCCAGUUCGGAUUGCAGGCUGCAACUCGCCUGCAUGAAGUCGGAAUUGCUAGUAAUCGCAGAUCAGAAUGCUGCGGUGAAUACGUUCCCGGGCCUU
RNAcentral lists this ribosomal RNA (457 nucleotides) under uncultured bacterium. RNAcentral describes it as "bacterial SSU rRNA". It matches the Rfam family "Bacterial small subunit ribosomal RNA", at positions 917 to 1382 of the family's 1533-position model. The record is from RNAcentral.